RNAcentral lists this ribosomal RNA (490 nucleotides) under uncultured bacterium. RNAcentral's name for it is "partial 16S ribosomal RNA". It matches the Rfam family "Bacterial small subunit ribosomal RNA", at positions 30 to 507 of the family's 1533-position model. The record is from RNAcentral.
AUUGAACGCUGGCGGCAGGCCUAACACAUGCAAGUCGAACGGUAACAGGAAACAGCUUGCUGUUUCGCUGACGAGUGGCGGACGGGUGAGUAAUGUCUGGGAAACUGCCUGAUGGAGGGGGAUAACUACUGGAAACGGUAGCUAAUACCGCAUAACGUCGCAAGACCAAAGAGGGGGACCUUCGGGCCUCUUGCCAUCGGAUGUGCCCAGAUGGGAUUAGCUAGUAGGUGGGGUAACGGCUCACCUAGGCGACGAUCCCUAGCUGGUCUGAGAGGAUGACCAGCCACACUGGAACUGAGACACGGUCCAGACUCCUACGGGAGGCAGCAGUGGGGAAUAUUGCACAAUGGGCGCAAGCCUGAUGCAGCCAUGCCGCGUGUAUGAAGAAGGCCUUCGGGUUGUAAAGUACUUUCAGCGGGGAUGAAGGGAGUAAAGUUAAUACCUUUGCUCAUUGACGUUACCCGCAGAAGAAGCUCCGGCUAACUCCGUG